Molecule: long non-coding RNA, 17865 nt
Filed under: Triticum aestivum (bread wheat)
Lineage: Eukaryota; Viridiplantae; Streptophyta; Magnoliopsida; Poales; Poaceae
Description: long non-coding RNA (TAES_LNC028362)
Rfam family: MIR1120/MIR1122 microRNA precursor family (bases 16500-16633)
Source: RNAcentral
UGCAAGGGACCAGAGCAUUGUUACCUUGACAGCGGCGAGAGGCACAAUGGGCUAUAUUGCACCUGAGCUAUAUUCAAGGAACUUUGGGGGAAUAUCCUACAAGUCAGAUGUAUACAGUUUUGGCAUGCUGGUGUUAGAAAUGGUUAGCAGAAGGAGGAACUCAGACCCAAGUGUCGGGAGCCAGAAUGAUGUCUACCUUCCAGAGUGGAUCUAUGAGAAAGUAACCACUGGGCAAGACUUGAUUCUUACUUUGGAUAUGGCACAUGAAGAGAAAGAAAAGGUCAGACAGCUUGCCAUUGUGGGACUAUGGUGUAUCCAGUGGAACCCAAAGAAUCGGCCCUCGAUGACAAAGGUGGUAAACAUGUUAACCGGGAGGUUCCAGAAUCUACAGAUGCCCCCAAAACCAUUCAUCUCAACUGAAAAUCAUCCUGUUGUGUAAAUCAUGGAGAGCAUGCUACCACAUAACUUAGUAAACACUGAGGCGUGUAAUAUAUUUGAUGUUUCCACUACAUUAGUGCCUGAUGUAUGAAUACGGAUCCAUCGCCAUGUAAUACUAUUACUAGCUAUUUGUAAUCAGAAUCACAUCAAACUUUAUUUGGAUUGUAAAAAAACAGUUAAAAAUACAAUAAUCUAUUGAUUACCUUGUUCUGAUAUUCCGACGAUUUAUACCCAGUUCAGCAUUUCCCUCAGUGCAUUCAUCCUCAUAGAAGUCCUCGAGAAACAUGAUGAGGCCAUCUGAUUGUCACUCCGAUAAUGGUGAGAAUGUCAGAGGAUCCAGGCCACCUGAUGUAUGAAUAAAUCUCAGCAAUCCAUGCCACCUGAUGUAUGAAUAAUAAUCAGUCGUCACCGCGUCAUAGUCAAUGAAAAAAAUAGCGCGCUACAGAAAAUAGCGUGGCCCCUGAAAAUAUGCUAUUAGCGUGCUAUAGCGUGCUAUUAGCGAGGCAUUGUACAUUGAUUUAUUUAGCGAGACAAUUUUCUAUAUGCUAUAGCGUGCUAUUAGCGGCGAUAUAGCGCGCUAUUUUUUUCAGUGGUCAUAGUACAGAAUCACAUAGCUUUAUUUGCAUUUUGACAGAUAAAAUGCAACAACCUUAUCCUGCUGUUCCACGCUUGAGUAUUUUCUCAGGGCAUUCCUCCUCAGUAAGCAGGCCAUUUUAAUCGCAGACCUGGAUUGGGGAGGCAUGCUCAGAUUGAACAGUUCUUAAAACACAACAACCCGUUGCUUACCUUAUUAUUCUUCUGUUCCACACAUGAGUAUUUUCUAGUACAGUGCAUUCCUCCUCGGUAAUGUGUGAGCUAAUCAUGGACUAGUAGUUAUUACGCUGAAAAUCUCACAGGUUCAUCCUACAGGCGGGUUAAUCAUGACAUCUUAAUCCCAGGACAGGAGUAACACUUUUCCAUGUGUGUGGGAUUGUGGGUACAUUUCGUACUAAGAUUUGGCAACAAAAAUGAAAGGAAAUCGAACGGAGGUGAGGAGGCGGCGGCGGAUCUCGAAGGCAGCGAGAUUCCUCGGGAGGCCGCCAUCGCCGGAGAAAGGGCGCUCCGGUGGGGCAUGGCUGGCAAUGGGGGAUACGUGGAGCCCUCAACUGGAAGCGCGAUUCGGCGGCCUACUCCGAUAGCCGGCGGCGGCGGCGGAGCAGAGCACCGCACCGCCGGGGGACGUGGUUUUUUUGUUUUUUGACAGGUGCCGGGGGACGUGGUGGGUUGGAGAAGAGGCGUAUCAGGGAGGGAGGGAUGCUGACUCCAUCUGCGAAAACGGCCCAGCCCACUAAGCUGAAAAUGUGCAAUGUAUAUAAGGAAAUUAGACAUCAAAACAAUAUAGUUAAUAAAUGUUAGUCACAUUUAAAAAAAUGUGCAACGUGUACGAAACAAAUAUUUCAGCUAUAUACAAAAUGUGUUCAUGUAUUUGAAAAACGUUAUACACGUAUAAAUGAAAUGUUCAUGUCUUAUAUGAAAAGAGAAUUGUAAUAGGGGAGCCGUGGAACUUCUGGACUGGAAGCGUGAUGUGGCGGCCUACUGGGAUCUGUGAACUGUAUGCCCACUACAGGAUGACCGCCGGCGAAGCAGAGCACCGCACCGCCCGGGGCCAUGGUAGGUAGGAAGAAGAGGCGCAUCGGGCUCCUCCUCCUCCAUCUGCAACAAAAGACCCAGCCCGCUAUGUAGGGUCCAGCCCAUCAAAACCACGCCACAGCCUGCUGUGUUUUUCUUUCCCGCUAUUCCUCACAUCCUGUUUUUUUUUCUGUAUAUACAGCUCGGAAGUGAUACUACUUUUACCAAAAAAACAUACGUAUAUCUUGCUCUUUAUUAGUAUACAUGAUUUUAUGGAUUUAUUUGAAAAAUGCAAGUGUAUAUUUUAGAAUUUUAGAAAUAAAGAUCUAGCAAAUUAGCUGAUUAACAAUUAGCAUAGUAAUUUAAAAACAAAAUUAACAAAUGAUAAAUAGAAAGACUUUUGUAUUUUUUAGGAGUGUUACAACACUCCAUAAAAUAGUAUACAUCAUUAUUUUUCAACGAUUCACAUUUCUAUUUUGUGAGCAUGAGAAUGAUACAAUUUCACUUAAAUCUCACGUAAUGUCUUCGUAAACACCAACUGGUCGGUGGUAAAGGACGACCUUAGUGUACUCAAUCUCUUUUGACUUGUGAAAAACACCAACAAAUUUACAUUGAAGGCACAUUUGAGUUGGUACAAACAUAGGAAUCCAGACUCCGCUUGAUUUGAUCUUUAGUUUCGACCUUCAGCAGUCGGGAAAAAGAAGAAGGGCCCACCUAUUCCAUUCUGAGAGACCACAAAGUUUCGAAUCCUUUGAGUCCGGAUUAUGAAGACCCGAUUGGAUUUGUCAAGAACGAGCUAACAACUACAACGGACAUACAUGAAAUGCUUUCAUCUGAAGCUCUGAAGGUACAUAAAUAAGCAUUCAAGAGAAGCUUUGGUGCACGAUGGGGAUUUGCAUGGAAGUAUCAAGAACUGGAUUAUGCCUUCUAUCUCGUGAAAAUCUAACUAUUAACCCAUGUGACAAGCCCAUGGAGGAUUUGGAGAACUACACGACAAUAAGUGCAAUUCCAUGCCACCUCGGUUCUAAAUCAUUAUGACAACAUGUUGUUUUUCUUCUAUGAGAAACCAGACAGGAUGGGAAAGAUUUCACUAGUAUGAUAUGAUCUCGUUAGCAGCAGAAUUGCUCCUACCUCGUGUUGCAGCCAGUGCAGCGAGAAACACAAAUACGUUUUUUUAAGAACCUCAUCACAAGGGCAUGGGGUUCCUGCAGUUUAUUUAGAAAGAAAGAGAUGGUCCAGUUUAUAAGGAAAACCGGGCCCAAAAACUAAACAUUCCUUGUUAAUUACGGAAAAACAAGUGAAAACCCAAAAAGAGGAGCGAAAAAGCAACAAUGUUUUUAUUUGGCAUGGCAUUUGUAGUCGACGAAUAAUUUUAGUUGUUGCAAGCUGGGGCCACUAUAAAAUAAAUGUCCAAAAUGCAACAACUCAUAGAUGGAUACUCGGGGGUGGUGUUCAUGUUGAACAGUGAUUUUGUAUGUUGCUUACAAUUUUCUUGAAUCUCUACCAUUUUCUAAGCCUUUUGAUGUAUAUCAAACUAUUCCAUCUCCACCUUACUCGCGCGUUACCGCGCCCAUCCCAAAAUUAUAAUAUAUAGGCUGGCUUUAACAUCUAUUUGAAUACAAAGUCAUUUUGGAAUGUAAACAUUGCACCAAUAGGGCCUCUUUGCAUUAACUUGGUUUCAUUAAUUUCCUGCUCACUCUAUUUAUUCAUAGACAAUUACAAAGCACAUAUUGACAAUAGUACCCAAAAACAAGAAAUUAAAAUGCAAGUCUCAUAGCAGUGCGUCUGACCUAAAACACAAUAAGAUCCUGCAAGUGCACAACCAUAGUUAUUCCAUCAUUUUCAGAAGAAUUUCAGACAUAAAACAACAAUGACAAGUGUAUAUAUGAAUUGGCCUUAUAAUUUCUUGUAUAUUUAUCUACAUGUGUACCAUCACUUCGAAAGGGACCAACAAAAGAUGCACCCAGGUUAAGCAUCUUUACUCAAUAAAAAUAUAUGAAAGAGAAGACUCCAUUGAUGGAUUUACUCUUACCAGCAGAAAAUUCCAAAAAAGCAUAUGUUUUAACUAAACAUAAGAAAAUGAUUGUGUCAAGCAUCUAUUCUUAUCAGGACAACGACUUUCCAUUCCAAUUUUGUAUCGGUGAAAUUAUCCCUUUCUGGUAGUGUAUAUACUCAACUGGAAUACGACCCAAGGGAAGAAACAGAAGCAUGGGACUCACAAGGGAAAAACAAACAACGAAUGGAGCAAGAUUCCAUCUCGGCAGACUGCAAAACCAGGGCACGAACCAGUCGCUUACGCAUACACGAUUCCUCACCAAUCGAAGCAAAGGGUUCGCGAGGUGUGUUUACCUACGGAAGCUGAGAUUUGUGGGGACGCAUGAGAGUUCCUUCAGAAUAGGAAGAAUCGAUCCAUGCAUCAACAAUUUCUUCUCCGUGGACGGAUUGUACACCUGCACAACUUCCUAGGCCAAUCUACUAUGCCGAACAGAAGGGUCGAAGCCGUCGAACCGCAAGGGACGAAGCUGACAACACACGUCAAGGAGAACCGCCGAACAGCGAGUAAUGAAGUCGAGGGCGCGUGCCGCAGCCUCGGGGAGAACGCACGCAGUGUGGUUGAGAAAUCUUGAGAGGAUGCCUUUUUUUCUUUGAUAUCUCUUGAGAGGAUGCCUUUUUUUAGUAACUCUUGAGAGGAUGCCUUUUUUUUGAGACAAUCUUGAGAGGAUGCCUAGGUAUGCACGGAACGGGCCUGUUGUUUACCCUCGUUUUCCUGGGCCUAAUCUAUUUCUCUCGACCUCUCAGCCCAACUAAUGACAGAAAGCCUAGGUCAGCUAGCGGAGCAGCAGCCCGUUUACGGUGACCAGGUCACGCUGGGUGAUCGAACGAAAAAUGGGCAGGCGCGAGGGACGAAACGAACGCCAGAUCUGAACCGUCUAUUAGGCUGAUCCGACGGCGGAGGAUGUCAAAUCGCUGUGGGAGGGCGUGGGUAGCCCAGUUUUACUGUUUAGUAAUAACAUUGAAUUAAAACUGCACAUGGGUAGAAUUUCAGUGUGUCAGUAGUGUGUGCAACUUAAUGUGAUUGAUAUUUAUGAAGCUUUAACACAACUGAGAAUUCUCAAGAUUGGAAAGUUCUCCAAAAGCAGGAAAACAUGUGAGAAAGGUCUAUAUCAUAACUAUGAGUAUACAGAAUUUUUUGAGAGGCUAGGAAAUGACAUAUAUGUCCACACAUCAUCCUAUUAAUGCCUAUUUAUGCAUUAUUUUCUAUUUAUUUCAAAACCUUAUGAUUUUGAGUCAACUAAACAAUACAUACGUGAUUGAGAAGGACGAAAGCACUUUACUGAAUAUCACUACCUUUGAUGGCGGACACCAAUGCCAUCUUCAUAUUAGAAGUGCAUGUAAAUGUGUCCAUCCUACAUCGGAGUGGUAUAUAAAGGAGCUCUCAUAAGAACACUUUGAUGUAGUAGAGGCAGGGAUAACACAAUAGAAAACACUUUGUACCAGGUUGGCAGCCAACUGGGGCCAUGCAUGCAUAUAUACCACUGGGCUUGGGAAGAAUCGAGAAUUCAGUUACCACUCUCCCUUCUUGCGAGCCUCAUACUCUGUGUAAUCUUGUGAAUAGGUGGUGCCACCAAACUCAUGUUAAAAUUUGACUAACGCAUAUUGUGCCCAGCGUGGAUCAAAGGAGUAUGUUACGCUGCAGUGCAUACAUCACGUCGCGGUAUCCAAGCAAUUGCCCUUCAUUUCAUGUUCAAAAUGAAUGGACUAGAGGUCCCAAAAACGCUACUCCCUCUAUUCCUAAAUUUAGUGCGCAUAGGAAAUUUCAAAAGUCAAACUCCCCCUACUUUGACUACAUUUAUAGAGGACAAAUAUCCACAUUUAUAAUAUUAAGUAAACAUCAUUAGAUACAUCAUUAAGCAUAUAUUUAUGUUAUAUUUAUAUGGUAUCAUUUUUGUUGAUACUUUUCUCACUAAAAUUGGUCAAACUAAACAAUGUUUGACUUCUAAGAAAUUUUAUGCGCACUACAUUUAAGAAUAGAGGGAGUACCACUAAGUAGGCAGCCCACUAAGUACGAAUGAAGGGCCCAGCCCAUCAAAACCACACCACAGCACGCCCCACUAGGCCCACCAGAGACAUGCUGUGUUUUUCUUUUUCGCUGUUGGCUAUUACAGACCGUCACACCUUUUUUUUAUUACUGUAUAUACAGCUCCGAAGUAACACUAUACUUGCACCCCAAAAAAACUUGCUCUUUACUAGUAUACAUGACUUUUUAUGGAUUUAUUUGAAACACGUAAGUGUAUAUUUUACAAUUUUAGAAAUAAGGAUCCAGCCAAUUAGUUGAUUAACAGUUAACAUAGUAAUUUUAAAAAAUUAACAAAUGAUAAAUAGAAGAACUUUUGUGUUACUUUAGGAGUGUUACAACACCCCAUAAACUAGUAGCACAUCAUUUUUUCAGUGAUUCACAUUUGUAUUUUGUCAGCAUGCCAAUGAUACAAUUUCACCUCAAUCUCACGUAAUGUCUACACUCCUGGUAAAUAAACACCAGCUUGUAAGUGGUAAAGGAUUACUCUAGUGUAUUCGAUCUCUUCCUACUUGUGACAGCGAACGACAAUUUGAUAUUGAAGGCACAUGCAUGUAUGCUUUCAUCUGAAGCUUUGAAGGUACAUAAAUAAGCAUUCAAGAGAAGAUUUGGUGCACUACUUUUAGGUAGAGAUGAUGAGGAUUUGCAUGGAAGUAUUGAGAACCGGAUUAUGCCUUCUAUCUCGUGAAAGUCUAACUAUUAACCUGUGUGACAAGCCCAUGCAGGAUUUGGAAAACUACGCGACGAUUAGUGCAAUUCCAUGUCCUCUCAAUUCGGAAUCAUUAUGGCAGCAUGUUGUUUUUCUUUGGUAAGAAACGAGACGUGAAGGGGAAGGCUACACUAGUAUGCUAUGAUCUCAUUAGCAAUAGAGUUGCGCCUACCUCAUGUUGCAGCUAGUGCUGCGAGAAACACAAAAGAUGUUACUAUUCGGCAUGGACGUUGUAGUCGACGAAUAUAACCACAAACUUGGCUAUAUUCUGUUGUCCAUUAUUAGUUUUUAAUCUUGGCAUUAAUCUUAAUUCCAUAUUGAAUCCACACUUUCUAAGUGUUUUGUUCAUUUGGUUAUGACCCCUUCUGCUGGGCACGGUUACUUUGUACAUUUGUAGCACAUAAAAGAAAUUGAAUUUCUUAUCUUGGGAUCUAUUUAUUUAAAGGAGAAUUCCCAAUAUCACUUUUAUUGCUAGAGUUUGUUGUUUUGGCAUAAUUUUUCUAGUUGACUCGAUGAAGAAUGAGUUUACAUGAGAAAACAUUUAGUCAUUGUCAUUUUUUCUUCUUACCAGCGAAAUUCUCAAUUAUGAGGCAGCUAAGUAUACUGCUUCUAUGAAUAUUCCUUGCAUUGUAUUACAUAAGCGGUUCGAUUUAUCUAUUUCUAGUAUCAAGUGACUUAUAAGUGAGUUAUUUUGGGUAAUCUACAAAAGCUCAUCUACUCCUGAUGAACAGUAAACUCCAAAAAAUAGUAAACAAUCGAAAAAUCUGCAUAUUUCUGACAUCCAAGAUGCUCUAGAUGCUAGGAGCGUGCAAAUUUUCGUUGUGAUAUGACUUUCGAGGGGAUGUAGACGAAAGAAAAAUCAGGUCACCAAGGUGCUUUUUUUCAAAGUUUCUUUGAGAGUUGAAUUUUGCUUUUCCCCCCUCAAAUUACGUUUGCUAGAUCAUCUUUCUAACCACGGUUUUUAAGGCGGCAAGGCAUCUAAAGGCGAUCAAUCCCUGCCUUACCGCCUAAUGGACGCUUAAGCGCCUAAGGUGGACAAAAUGCCAAUACGCUACCAAAGCACCUUGCCGCUUAAGCGAUGCCUAAGCAUCACCUUACGAACGCAUUAAAAACCAUGUUUCUAACUAUCUCAUGUUGCCUUCUUUUAUUUAUGUGCCUUUAUUGUGGAACUGUUGUUAACUGCAUGACCUCUCAUGAUUCUAGGUAGAACCAUUACUGUUGGAUGCAAUGGAGCUGAAAUGUUAGCAUGAUUAUCUGGUUUGAUGUGCUAAUGUGCUGAGACAUUUGAACUAGUAAGAAGAUUUUCUGAUUGUAGUUUGUGAGAUUUUGACUCUUCAGAAAAUAUCUGGUGGCCAAUGUGGGUUGCAUGCACCCUCAAACUACGGUCAUAAAAAUGGUGGUCAUGCUAAGUAAUUAGGUUGUUUCAUAUUCUAUAAGUUGAAAGCAAUGUAUUUUUAGCCAAUUUUACUAGUAUAAUCACCAUUCUCAUCAUUAAACUCCCCCACCCAACAAAUUUGUGUCAAAAAGGCUUUUGUUGUCAGUGGUGUUCUAUGGGGGUGGAGCUAGUGAAUAUGAUAUAACUCUUCGUUUUAUGAGGGGAUAUGAUGUAGCUCUUCUUUUAUUUUGCUGAGCUCAUCAUGAGUUUGUACUAUCUUUUUUUGUAAUUUCUUGUUCAUAGACGGUUACAUAUCGAAAAUCCAUUUCUGCACCCGAGCUCAUUUGCACCCACGCUGAUGAACAAAAUAAAAAAAAUACUAGAAAAAUUCAAACAAUGCCAAAUUUUUUUCUCAUGGUAGAAACUUUGAUGCGUGAGGUCCGCCCCAAUUUUCAAGUCAUUUGGAUAAAUGAGCAACCCUCGGCAAAAAAGACAAAUUCGAGGUUUGUAAAACAGUAUACUGUUCAUAUACUGUUUUGACCCGAUUUGUCUUUUUUGCUGAGAGCGCCUUAGAUGUCCAAAUAUGAUAAAAUUUGGAGCGAACCUCACGCAACAAAUUGUCUACUAUGAGAAAAAAAAUUGGAAUUUUUUGAAUUUUUCUAGUAUUUUUUGUGAAUUGUUUUCUGGCCGGGUGCAGAUGAGCCUGGGCACCGAAUCGCUGCACUCGUUACAUAUGUGCUAUUAUAAGAUUUUAUUUACCUUUAUCUGUAAUGUAUGGCUGCUAUUGAGUUACUAGAAGAUUAACACUUUUUUUCUCCAGGUGAAGAAAUGGCUGCUGCAGUUGUUAGUUGUCACUGAGUCUGUCGCGUCGCAUCAAUGUGGUCGAUGAUGUUUAUAUGUUAUCUACAAAAAACUUAUCGUGUCUUAUUCGAGUCAAGUAUGUAAUGUACUAAGGUGCUUUCGAAUACCUAAUCUAGGGAAUUUCGGCUGAUACUAGUAUUAUUUUAAGUUGGGUUUCAUCAUGUCACUAGUUUCUACAUGCUGGAGUGUGGAUUUGUCGUACCCCAGUACCAGUGUACCCUCUAUCUCAUCCGUCCAGUUUGCGUCAAGAUUCGUGCUAUUCUUACAUAAUUUUUUCUCUUUUUUAUCUCUUCCAAACAAGAGAACAUUUGACCCUGAAACUUUGCAGGUCAACUAUACACAAGUGUCGCUCAUUGUAUAAUAUUUUUUUGAUGAAAUAUAAACAUAGUAGUACUUGUGUGAUGUUGAUCUACAAAGCUUCGAGUUCAAAUGUUCUUUUAUUUGGGAGACAAAAGAGAAGUUUGCUUGCACGAACUUUGAAGCAAAACUGGAUGGUGAGAUAGNNNNNNNNNNNNNNNNNNNNNNNNNNNNNNNNNNNNNNNNNNNNNNNNNNNNNNNNNNNNNNNNNNNNNNNNNNNNNNNNNNNNNNNNNNNNNNNNNNNNNNNNNNNNNNNNNNNNNNNNNNNNNNNNNNNNNNNNNNNNNNNNNNNNNNNNNNNNNNNNNNNNNNNNNNNNNNNNNNNNNNNNNNNNNNNNNNNNNNNNNNNNNNNNNNNNNNNNNNNNNNNNNNNNNNNNNNNNNNNNNNNNNNNNNNNNNNNNNNNNNNNNNNNNNNNNNNNNNNNNNNNNNNNNNNNNNNNNNNNNNNNNNNNNNNNNNNNNNNNNNNNNNNNNNNNNNNNNNNNNNNNNNNNNNNNNNNNNNNNNNNNNNNNNNNNNNNNNNNNNNNNCAGAAGUUUACCAUCCUGUGAAUUCGAUCUGGAGGAACGACAUGCAUGGUGGCGCGGGGCUCGAGCGGUCGCCGGCCGCCAGGGACCGGAGCAUGGUGGUGGGGAAGGGGAUGUGGCGUGAACAAUGGGCCGGGCCCAUUUGCAUAUACGGCCGUUGAGCUGUUUUCCCCAGUGAUCUGGGUUGGGUUUAGUGGUGGGCUUGUUUUUGACUGCUCGCGCUAAAAUUCUUGGGCCGCCAUACCGUGUUCGUGCCCCAUCGGUCAUCGAAGAAAUUACAUCCCUACCGCACAAUUUUUCUUACAUCACUCAACAAAAAGAAAAAAAAACAUCCCCUCAAAAAAACCAAAGAAAUUGCAUCCUCUCAAAAAACAAACCCAAAGAAAUUACACAUUGGGCCCUGACGACGAUGUCAUCGAAGAAAUCCUUAAAUUCUAUUGUUAUUCUCUUUUUUUUGAUGAAAAGGGGUUUCCCCCACCCCCAUUUUAUUAAAACGAGGCAACAUCAACAAUCCUUAUAUCUUAUUGUUACUCUUUGCACAGAGGCAAUUUGUGUGGUCAUCACUGCACCGACUCAAUGGUUUGUUUCCGGUGUACAUGUCGUUUCAGCGUUUAUUACAUGGCUGAAAUGAAGAAGAUAAUGCAGCUGAGACUGAGGAGGUUGCUGCUGUCCACUUACUUUGUAGUGGUUGAUACGAGUGAAAGGGCUCGUCUCAUCUUCAAUUCCUUACAGCCAUUUUUACUGGUGAUGAUAUGAGUCUGGAUCGGUGUGAGUCUUUAGUCACGCUCGUAAUCGCAACAACACGACGACGACAGAGAGAGUAGCAUUCACGCUUGGAAACUCUGACCGUGCACACGCCUAUCAUCGGUAGCCAGUGCGCAUCUCUUCUCCUCUUCAAGCAGCUGUGAUUUGAAAGGGCUAGUCUAACUGUGUUUACCACUGUUCCAAAAGAAAGAAGGAAGAAAAACUGUGCUAUACCACCACCAGAGAAUACAAAACAAAAUAGUACAAUCGGCAGCGCAACAGUUUGCAUUAUCCAUUUUACAGACUUUGCUUGUGAUCUGCUUUAUUUAUUUAUUUACUUAUUUUGAGAAUCGUUAUGGACUGUCUUCCACUAGAACUCUACAAGCACCCGAUAAAACGCUAAUUAACUGUGUUGUCUUUUCACAGCAGGUGCAUGCAAAUAUCACUCCACAUCCCACAAGCUAUCGCUCGGUUAAUAAUAUGUUCACAUUGAAAUAAUACAUAUGUCUUCCAAGAACAUCAACUAUUACAGUACAUUUUAGCACCUUACUUUCAUGGAUAUUACAGUUGGAAGUAAUUUCCCUCCAUCCUCUCUAUUUUUUAAACUGCUAGUAUUACAUUACAUUACAUGCUCCCACAUAAAAGUUCACAGCAAGAGUCGGAAUAUUUUAUACAACCAUAACUUGAACCUUUUGCAAGCAAAGUGCUUCAACUUAAUCAUACAUUACAUCACACAAUGAUAUUUUCACUCAUAUCCUCCUCCGAUAUUUCAGUCAACUCGGACGACAAAUGAUAAGUAUCCUCAGUAUGGGUGUGUCCUUCAUCGCAGAACAAUGGCCUCGAAGGCAUCUCCAAGCCCUCGACACAGCCUUCCAGCAUCUCUAUAACCUCGCCCAUCGUGGGUCGAUCUUGAGACCUCAUCUGAAUGCACCAUAGUCCGACAAUACACAGCUUCCUCUCCAGCUCAUGCAUGUCAACGACAUGAACAGAUAUCUCACCCCAUUCUUGCUGAGUUAGCCUAUCAUACACCCAUGAUGGGUAGUAUGCCUGGCUCGAGUGCGCUGCAUUCGGAUCAACAUUCCUUCUUCCUCCGGCCAUCUCCAACAGCAGCAUCCCAAAACUGUAAACAUCCGACUUGCUCGAUAUGACGCCAAAGCUCCGAGAUAUCAUCUCAGGAGCUAUGUACCCGAUUGUUCCACGCAGGGCUCUUGAUGGCACGAAACUGUUGUCCCUUGGGUACAGUUUGGCAAGACCAAAAUCAGCAAGUUUGGGGACAAAAUUGCUGUCGAGAAGGAUGUUGUGUGGCUUGAUGUCAAAGUGCAGAAUCUGCAUGUCACAACCCUGAUGCAGGUAAUGGAUACCCCUGGCAAUGCCUAAAGCAAUCUCCAUGAGCUUGUCCCAACAGAAACUCUUCUUGGCUGAGAAGAUGUAUUUGUCCAAAGAACCUCGAGGCAUGUACUCGUAGACGAGUGCUUGUCUCAUUUCUUCCGGGCAGAACCCCAUGAGACGCACAACAUUGACGUGGUGGAUCCUGCCAAUGGUGGCAACUUCACUGAUGAAAUCUUCUCCAUUGCAAUUGGAGUUACCCUCCAGCAUCUUGACCGCGACAUGGACGUUGCCUGGUGAUAGCACACCCUUGAACACCGAGCCGUAGCCUCCCUGACCCAGCUUAUCUCUGAAAUGGUUUGUGAUUGCGGUGAUGUCAGUGUAGGCAUACCUUGUUGGACCCAACAUUUGCUGCAUUAGAAGGAACUUCUCUACUGCAUCGAUUGUUAUCCUUGUUUUCCAAUAUUUGUGAGCAAGGAAGAUCAAUACAGCUAUGGGUGCCAACAUGAAUCUGCAUAGUACUGCAUAACAGGUUCAUUCAUUUUAAUAACAAUAGUAAUGAAGCUCAAUACGAUAGCUUGGAUCAUCAAGAAGAAUAUAAAAUUCUGACAUACCAGCAAUGCACUUCACGAGCCAGAUGGCAAGAGCUAUUAUAUAUGUGCCUAAGGACCAAGCAAUGUUGUCAUGCAAUGGAACAACAGAAACCACACAAUUCCAGAAUCUGAGUUCAAUGGAAAAAAAUAACAAAGCCCAGUCCUCAAUAGUAUUUGUUUCAUCACGUUCGCUGCAAGACCAUGGCACAUCACCAUGGUACAAAAAGGAAAUUUAAGAAAGACGCAAGUGUAUAGGAAUCAAACAGAAAAAGGUACUAUAGCAAACUCACCGUACCAACUUCAUUAGGCACUCAGUGAUGCCCCCAGUGGGAAAUCGAACAGCGAAUCCGGUCCUCAUGAGUUCAAUGGUCUCUGCAUAACUUGCAUUCGCUGCCCGACUACCUAAAGGAGUCAUUGCCAGAUAUCCACAAGAAGGCUCGAGGCUCCCGACAGCACCAGAGUCCAUGCCAGUUAACACAUAGACAAACGAAUAGCUGGUGCUCAUGCAAGUGACAGGCAUGUACCUACCAUUGUUCCUUACUUCCUGAGAACAUCUAACAAAGCUUGCGAAACUGUAUGCACGAGGUGCUAAUUCAACUUCAGGGUGUGAAACAUCUGGACCAUAUUUGUGUUCAUUAAAAGGCCGAUUCCAGCUAGGAAGAGGGCACUGGUCAAGUAAGUCCAAGAUAGCAUCAACAACCAAGAAGUAAGAAAAAGUAGUGUUGAUGCGAGACACAUGGUAUGUUGCAUUGUUGAUGUGAAUUGUAGCCUUGGUAUCACUGCAAAACCGCACCAGGAUGGAUCACCUGCCUGACGAAAUGGCGACGAUACCUCCCUAAGAGGGCCACAUGAAAAAGGAGGACAAUCAUGCCAAUGAAGUCGCCCUUGAACAUAAUUUGGAACAAGAACUGCAAGCACAAAUAAGGCAGUUGAGGCUUUCAAGGCAGUGAGAUGGUGGAACACAGUAGCUCUCACCAUGGCAGACUGGUUCAAAGAAUCGCACAUGCAUGUAGAUGAUACAAUAGCUGGUUAAGAAGAUCAGUUGCCUGAUGACUGACUGGUUCUAUAUGGUCGUGAUGGCAAAAGAAGAAAAGUUCCAGUUGGUCUACUGGAUGUGACAUUCCAUUCCACAUCCAAUUGUGUCCAGUAGUCAUGCCCAUGUACCAGUCGUGGUGAAAAGGAAGCCAUAUAUUAUUGCUCUUUGUUUGUAGUGAAGCCAUUGGAGGACGAAUCUCUGACUAAUCUACAUUGACAGCAAGCCAGCACUGAAUAGUAGCGCUUCUUCAUUUUUCUGAUACGCAGCACGUCGGAAGUUUCAUUGGCAAUUGGAAUCCCUCCUUAUCCACACAGCUAUCAUGCAAGCAAACCGUACAUUCUCGCUUAAUUUAACUACAUGUGCUCCUUGUUACACUCACAGGCUUCUCUACAAUACAUCCCAACAGUAUGCCAGGACUUCUCUUGACAGUGCUGCUCAUCUCUCUUCUCGCCAAAGAAACAUAUGUUGCCACAUCACUGGAUGAUGAAAACUUCUUCAAGAGUUGUUCACCAAGUCGGUGCAGCAAACAUGGACCAGAGGUCCGUUUCCCAUUCAGGCUUGCAACCCAACCUCCGCCUUGUGGUGCACCAGGUAUGCAACUAUCAUGCUCUGGACAGGACACAAUCCUGUACCACCAAGUUCUUGGCUCCUGCAAAGUGACUGCAAUAUUUUACAAGGAUCUAGUCAUAAACAUCAGUCCGCCUGUAGACUCAUCACUUGACUGCCCGCUUCAGAGACUCAUCUCAGCAAAUCUAUCAACCGGUGCGUACAAACCUCAAAAGUUGGAUGUUGCCAGCUUAGUAGGUUGUUCAAGAGAUCCUAUACCAAUAGAUCUAUAUGGUAUAGUGGGCCCAGUCACUUGUCUCAUUAACAAGGCCAUCAAGUUCUGGUAUUUGGUGAACCCCGAUGCCUACAUGUCUGUUCUACCUUUGGACUGCAUGGUUGUUUCUAAGGACAUCACAAUACCAUAUACUAGUCAGAUUGAUUACUCAGACUUUUUCAUAAUACCAAAGAAGGUCGAACACACUGCAACCUUUGAGUAUAGGGCAAGCAAAAGCAUCAGCCUUGGUGAGACAGCAUUUUCUUGGUACUCUAGUAACAUUACUAGUGUUUGCCAACAGUGUGAAAAAAAAGGACAACGAUGUGGAUUUAACUCACAAAGGGAUCAAGCUUUCUGCAAGAGUCAUGGUAUUUUUCCUUUCCCUAGUCGAAAUCAUGUAUCAUUAUGGUGUCUCAAUUCCUUUCUAAUGACAUUUCACAAAAAAAUUUAUCCAUCUAUGGUAUGUUCCAAAUUUUCCUAAUACCCAGUAAGAUUUGUACCAAUAGCAAAACUUUUCACAUAUGUUCACAUCCAUGGACGUACCCUCAAAAACAUUUUGUCUAGAGAUGGCAGUGUGAAAUUAUUAUGGUUAACUCUUUUGCAAAUUUCUCACAAAAAAGGAACAAGCCAUGGCAGCCCACCGUGCAGAUCAUUUCUUUCAGAACAGAAACCAAACUUUGCUUGGACACAAGGUCUUCUUUUUGCCUAGAUUAGCAAGGCUUGAUAUGGACUUUGGUUAUUAGUAACUCCCUUGUUAUUUCCUUUUUUUUGCUUCUGCACAAAGUAAGCAUUCAGAAUAUGAUUUUAGUCCAUGAAAUUGGCACUGUAUGGAUGUGAGGUGCACUGAUAACCAUCAACAAAUCUAACAUCGGUAACAUUUGAAUAUUGACACUUGCAUACUGUCAGAUAUAAUGUAAAUGGUCUUCAGGACAUAAUUCGAUUGUGUUGGAUUAAAUUUCCGAUGACUUAAGAGAAUUUGAACCAAGUUGCUUCAAAAAUAUUAUUGGCUUGGGCUUCUUGGAUAUAUAGGUACACUGGAUUGGCAUAGAUCAUUAGUAUUUUUAGAGUCAAAUGGAGCUAAACACCGGCUUCUCUUAGUUUGGAACUUUAGACUAGUGUAGAGUAGCUUGAACGUAGUCACCAUUAAAAUGGUGCUAAUGCAGUAAUCCUGAUUCUUGGCAAUAAAAAAGUUUACCCAUCACAAGCUACCAAUAAUAACAAAAUUAUUUAGACCAUUCACACAACAAAAUUAUACAGCGCUAACAAAGUUGAAUCUCAAACAGAUUCUUAUAAACCUGUGUUGGUUGCAAAGAUGUCCAUGUGCACCUCUGUUAUGAUCUUCAUGACUGUUGGAUUAAACAUUUUGUUCUCUCUAGCACCUGAUUUCCCACAGAACGCAAACUUGUCAUGAUACUCAAAAUGUUACCAUUCACGGCGUAUAAUGGUCUUUAUUCAUGUUAAGUUGACGUAAAUUUAUGAAGCCAAUCAAUAAGUUAUCUUUUUUAUUACUACUCACAGAAUGAACAUAAAAAAAUUAUAUAUUUUUUAAAUCACUAACCUAUAUGGUUCUUUAAUACAUAUACACACUCAUAUGAACUUCUAUUAACUUAAAUCAUGUUCGACAUUUCAAAUAUCUAACUGGAGUAAUAGAUAAAGAUAUUGGAUACUAACCAAUAAGCACGUAGCUGCAGUAUUCAAACGUUCGUAGCAGUUUUAUCACAAAAGGCAUGAGAAAAUGAGUAAAAGAUGAAAUAUAUCGAUCAAUAUAAGCCCUAUGUAUGAGGCCCAAUAUACAUGAAGGAUGAAGCUAACAGGAAGCUACACAACAUAUAUGCCCCUCCUAUACCCACAUAUCAAAUCUCAUGAAAAAAAAUCAGCAAUAAGUGGUUUCUAUCAAAAUUUUAGAAGUACCUUUCUUAUGUUUUGUCAACAUUAAAUCAUGGGAAGAACUCAAUCUGUCACUCUUACAUGCAGGUAUGCAGGUGAUCCAAAUUGCAGGUAAUGCUGCAACUCUUCUCUGUUUCCAUUAUAAAUGUACUCCCUCCGUCCGGAAAUACUUGUCAUCAAAAUGGAUAAAAGGGGGUGUAUCUAGCCGUAUUUUAGUUCUAGAUACAUCUCUUUUUAUCCAUUUUGAUGACAAGUAUUUCGGGCGGAGGGAGUACUUAACUUUUCACUCAUAUGAGAAAUAGCCACUACUCGAGGAGUCGUUGAACCUGUAUGAUGUGGGUUUAACUGAGCUGCAUCAAUUUCAUGUUCUCUCAUUGCAAUGAGAUACAAUAUAUCCCUCGGAAAAAGAGAAGGGGUGGGGCUGGGGCUGGGAAAGAUUUAAUCAUGUACUCAUAGCUAACUCUCUAAAUGCAGCUGGCUAAUUUCCAUUCUUUUUAAUCAGCAGCAUCAUCUGUAGCUGCAUUUGUAGCUCUUUCAUUGAUGUUAGCCACGACGAUCUACCUCUCACUGAAGUCAAGGUAUAAUGAAGAGAUAAAUAGGAAGGUCGAAAUAUUUCUCAAGGCAUAUGGGACAUCAAAACCUACAAGGUACACUUUCCCUGAAGUUAAGAAGAUAGCAAGACGGUUCAAGGAUAAAGUCGGCCAGGGCGGAUUUGGAAGUGUAUACAGAGGUGAGCUACCAAACAGAGUUCCUGUGGCAGUCAAGAUGCUAGAGAGCUCUACAGGAGAGGGGGAGGAAUUCAUCAAUGAAGUUGCAACCAUUGGACUAAUCCACCAUGCAAAUAUCGUCCGUCUUUUGGGCUUUUGCUCCGAAGGAAUGAGACGGGCUCUUAUUUACGAAUUCAUGCCUAACGAGUCACUGGAGAAAUACAUAUUCCCACAUGUUUCCAAUAUUUCUCGACAACUCCUAUCACCAAAAAAAAUGCUAGAUAUUGCUUUAGGCAUUGCCCGAGGGAUGGAAUAUCUGCACCAAGGCUGCAACCAGCGCAUCCUCCACUUUGACAUCAAGCCACAUAACAUCCUGCUGGACUACAACUUCAACCCAAAGAUCUCAGACUUUGGCCUUGCAAAGCUGUGUGCAAGGACCAGAGCAUCAUUACCUUAACUGCAGCAAGAGGCACCAUGGGAUACAUCGCACCAGAGCUAUACUCUCGGAACUUUGGAGGGGUUUCGUACAAGUCAGACGUGUACAGUUUCGGCAUGCUUGUGUUGGAAAUGGUCAGUGGAAGGAGGAACUCAGAUCCAAGUGUUGAGAACCAGGACGAGGUAUAUCUCCCGGAGUGGAUCUACGAGAGAGUAAUCAGUGGGCAUGAAUGUGAGCUCACUUCAGAAAUAACAGCAGAAGACAAAGAAAAGAUGAGGCAGCUGACUAUUGUGGCCCUGUGGUGUAUCCAGUGGAACCCGAAGAACCGGCCUUCAAUGACAAAGGUGGUAAACAUGUUAACCGGGAG